This 948-nucleotide non-coding RNA is filed under the name Dendromus mystacalis (chestnut climbing mouse). RNAcentral's name for it is "12S ribosomal RNA". The stretch from base 137 to 947 matches the Rfam family "Microsporidia small subunit ribosomal RNA". The record is from RNAcentral. Lineage: Eukaryota; Metazoa; Chordata; Mammalia; Rodentia; Nesomyidae.
CAAAGGUUUGGUCCUGGCCUUAUAAUUAGGGAAAGGUAGAAUUACAGGUGCAAAAUCCUUAAUACAGGGGUAAAUCCCUUACCAAUCCAAUUGGAAUUUAAAGGAGACGGUAUAAAGUUCAUUAAAUAGCUUAAGACACCUUGCCUUGCCACGCCCCCACGGGACCCCAGCAGUGAUAAAAAUUUAGCAAUAAACGAAAGUUUGACUAAGCCAUACUUCUAAGGGUUGGUAAAUUUCGUGCCAGCCACCGCGGUCAUAUGAUUAACCCAAAUUAAUUACGCUCCAGCGUAAAAUGUGUUUAUAUAAUUAUAAUAGAAUUAAAACUCAACUUAUAUGUGAAAAUUCAUUGUUGAACCUAAACACAAUAACGAAAGUAAUUCUAAAUUAUUUACACACGAAAGCUAAGACCCAAACUGGGAUUAGAUACCCCACUAUGCUUAGCCCUAAACGUAGGCAACUACCUAACAAGUCUGCCUGCCAGAGAACUACUAGCCACAGCUUAAAACUCAAAGGACUUGGCGGUACUUUAUAUCCAUCUAGAGGAGCCUGUUCUAUAAUCGAUAUACCCCGAUCUACCUCACCAUCCCCUUGCUAAUUCAGUCUAUAUACCGCCAUCUUCAGCAAACCCUUAAAAGGAAUUAUAGUAAGCAAGAUAAUUAACAUAAAAACGUUAGGUCAAGGUGUAGCCUAUGAGAUGGGAAGUAAUGGGCUACAUUUUCUUAAUAAGAAAACCACGCCACCCUCCAUGAAACUGGAAAGAUAAAGGAGGAUUUAGUAGUAAAUUAAGAAUAGAGUGCUUAAUUGAAUAGAGCAAUGAAGUACGCACACACGGCCCGUCACCCUCCUCAAAUUAGAUAAACAUAUUUAUUUCAUAAUAACAUUAUAAAUUCUAUCAGAGGAGAUAAGUCGUAACAAGGUAAGCAUACUGGAAAGUGUGCUUGGAAUAAU